GCCUUCGUGGUAUAGUGGUUAGCACGCUGGGUGCGUAUUCCAGAGGUCCGUGGUUCGAGUCCCGGCGAAGGCG
Stegodyphus mimosarum is the source of this 73-nucleotide non-coding RNA. The record is from Rfam. Lineage: Eukaryota; Metazoa; Arthropoda; Arachnida; Araneae; Eresidae.